UACACUCCUGCGGGAGGCAGCAGUGGGGAAUAUUGGACAAUGGGCGCAAGCCUGAUCCAGCCAUGCCGCGUGAGUGAUGAAGGCCCUAGGGUUGUAAAGCUCUUUCACCGGUGAAGAUAAUGACGGUAACCGGAGAAGAAGCCCCGGCUAACUUCGUGCCAGCAGCCGCGGUAAUACGAAGGGGGCUAGCGUUGUUCGGAUUUACUGGGCGUAAAGCGCACGUAGGCGGACUAUUAAGUCAGGGGUGAAAUCCCGGGGCUCAACCCCGGAACUGCCUUUGAUACUGGUAGUCUUGAGUUCGAGAGAGGUGGGUGGAAUUCCGAGUGUAGAGGUGAAAUUCGUAGAUAUUCGGAGGAACACCAGUGGCGAAGGCGGCUCACUGGCUCGAUACUGACGCUGAGGUGCGAAAGCGUGGGGAGCAAACAGGAUUAGAAACCCUUGUAGUCCCAUGAU
RNAcentral lists this ribosomal RNA (453 nucleotides) under uncultured organism. RNAcentral describes it as "partial 16S ribosomal RNA". It matches the Rfam family "Bacterial small subunit ribosomal RNA", at positions 332 to 801 of the family's 1533-position model. The record is from RNAcentral.